GAAGUAAGCCAAGACAGCCGCUGGUUAGCGUGUAAUGCGUUAGCGGGAGGAAGGUCCGGACUCCAUAGAGCAGGGUGACGGUUAAUGGCCGUCCGUCGUGAGACGAGGAAUAGGGCCACAGAGACGAGCGUAUUAAGUUACGGUGAAACGCGGUAACCUCCACUCGGAGCAAUCCCAAAUAGGCAUGCGUUGAUGUUGCUCGCGGAGCAUGCGGGUAGGGAGCUUGAGCGCUGGAGUAAUUCAGCGCCUAGAGGAAUGGCUGUCAUAACGUGCGGGCGCAAGCCUAAACGUCGUAACAGAAUCCGGCCUAUCGGCUUACUUCAUUU
RNAcentral lists this RNase P RNA (326 nucleotides) under Glaciimonas sp. Its description in RNAcentral is "RNase P RNA component class A". It matches the Rfam family "Bacterial RNase P class A". Rfam says of the family: Ribonuclease P (RNase P) is a ubiquitous endoribonuclease, found in archaea, bacteria and eukarya as well as chloroplasts and mitochondria. The record is from RNAcentral. Lineage: Bacteria; Pseudomonadati; Pseudomonadota; Betaproteobacteria; Burkholderiales; Oxalobacteraceae.